CACAGGGGUGUGAGUUGGGCCAGUGGAGGUGCUAAUCAGUAUUUUCAUCCCAGGGACUCGAGUCUAUGCCAACAAGAAAGUUGGUUACUCCUUAGUGGAAUGAUAAAAGUUAGAUUGCCAUCAUGUGCACUCCUGGCAGACAGUAAUCACACAGCUCAUCCUGUGUAUUGCACUACCUCCUGGCAGGCUAGUUACUGUCAUGGUGUGCAAGUAACACCUCAGAAAACUCACAUCAGUGAGAUAUUCUAGAGGAUAAACUGAAUGCUGACACCUAUGAGUGAAAGAACUAACUGAUACUUUUUAAAUCCAGAAACUUUGUUUAUUUUUAUUUAAAAAACUGACAAGAAAUAUGAUCACUGUGUUCCAUCUGUUAAAUGCUCAGUCAACUUCACUCUCUGUGACAUCAGAGAGAACAUUCUUGUCUCACUGCAUUGAAACUGUACCUCAGUAGGAGGUGUAAAUCCAUGAACUAUAUUGUGUGUAGUUGUUACACACUAUUCUUCAGCAGGGACAGCAAGAGGAGGUGUGACAUUACCUUUCUGAUAGUACCUCAGGGAGCCUUGGAGGCAACUCAUUUUCAGGUUUAUUCCCAAAAUUUCACUGCCCUUUCUUCAACAACAUGCCUUUGUUGGAGGUACCUUUUAUUGUUUUACUCAUAGAAGCCAGCUCUGUUUCACUUGAGUAGUUCUUAGGGGCAUAGUUCUAUUGACAGGUGAAACUUCCUACAGGCAUUUUGGUCUGUUUAUCUGCAUUAUUAGCUUGCCUGUUGUGAUCUGGCUGGAAGACAUAUCUCAGGAUUUUUAAUUCAACUUGCUGUCUUGACUGCAGCCUGAUCUUGUUGGAGCGAUUCUCCCCUCUCCUCUGCUCUGGUGAGAACCCAGCUAGAGUACUGCAUCCAGACCUGGGACCUCCAGCAUGGAAAGGACAUGGACUUGUUGGAACAAAUCCAGAUGAGGCCCACAAGGAGGUCAGAGGGUUUGAGCACCUCUUACGAGGAAAGGCUGAGACAGAGUUUUUCAGCCUGGAGAAGGCUCUAGGGAGACCUUAUUGUGACCUUUUAGUAUUUAAAGUGAACUUACAAGAGAGAUGAGACCCGCUUUUUAGUAGGGCCUAGCAAUAGGACAAGGAGUAAUAGUUUUAAUCUAAAAUAGUGUCGAUUUUGACUAGAUAUAAGAAAGAAAUUUUUUAUGAUGAGCAUGGUGGAACACUGGAACAGGUUGUCCAGAGAGGUGGUAGGUGUCUCAUCCCUGGAAAUACUCAAGGUCAGAUUGAAUGGGACUUCGAACAACCUGGCUGAGUUGAAGAAGGUCCUGAUGAUUGCAGGGGGGUAGGACUAGAUGAGUUUUAAAAGUGACCUUCCAACCCAAACUAUUCUGUGAUACACAGUAAGUUACUCCAGAGGAUGCACUUCAAAGAAAUGGCUGUACUGUUAUGGAAGUAUAAUCUGACCCCAAGGCUUCAUGCCCUGAUAACCAAGGCAAGUAAGAGGCGCAUGCCCUGUAAUUUCUUUUUCCUAAAAAUAAGCUAAGUAAAUGCUUAUUUAGUUUGAUGAAAAUAUUAGCUGGUUAUAUUAAGCUGACUGAGAAGUAACUAUAAUGCAGUUAUAUAGUGUUUGGUUUUUUUUUAAACUGGAGUCAGAAUAGCUGCCAAAAGACUGGCAGCACAAGUCGGUUGUGACAGAUGAGAGGGGAAUCAUUGCUGGAAUGAUUGCUGGACUCUUAGAAAUUAUAAAAGUAAGGAACAAGGUCCAGUGAAAGAAAGAGGAAAGACAAGGAAUUGUGAAAGACACCAAAAAAGCAGAAGGAAACAGCUAAAAGAUGUACUAUAACAGAUGGGCAGGACUGUUGCUUUUUCCUAACAGUAACUUACUUGGGUUUGGCAUUUUGUUUUCUUUUGUUUUUCUGCACAUUUGGAAAGAAACCCAACUCAUCUGUUGGUGCUCAUAUUGCUUCUGUCAGGUUUAGUGUGCUGGGAUGUGAUCUUAAAAUGAAGAUCUAUAGUAGAGUUAAGAACAGACUUCUGCUGGAGUUCAGCUUCUUUGUAAAUAAAUGAAUCCCACAAAUUUAGCUAAGAAAAGGCUAACAGGGUUACACUGCUACACUCUGAACAACCUCUUCCCUGUGCUUACACUCAUCUGUAUGAUAACUAAAAUAAGACAAUCAAUUUCCUCUGGUGACCUGUUUCUGCACAUAGACAAAUAAAAAUCAAGUUUCCUCUUGGUUCCAAGAUGCUGACAGGUGGGGGAUAAUUACUGUAGCAACAAUUCCUUAUAGGCUUGUGAGAGGACUCCAGAAACCUGGAGUGUUGUGGAGUGCAGGCAUUAGGCAUCACAGGUGCCUUGAUUUUAUGGAAGCAGCCAGAGGGGAAAACAAGUAGUUGUCUGCCAGUGCUGACUCCGGGCUGUAUCAGCUGCUGUUAAUUACCUUGCUCCCAGACAAUUGUCUGACUGCAACUGAGCUGCCUGAUUAAAAUAUUUUACUGCCCCACUUUCUGAACAGUAGUCGUUUUCCACCCUCGGUCCUGGAGCACUCAUGGGUAGGUUGUACUGCCUGCAUCCCACACUAUAUUUUCUUUUUUUUGCUGCUACCAUGUGCAGCAAGUAUGUCUCUUGUGCAGGUGGGGCCCUCAGGGCAGGGGGGAGGAAGUGUUGCUAAUGGAAAAGGUUUGGGCAAUUCUGGAUUGUUUUGCUUUGUAUAAAUCUAGAAGGCUUUGUUUUAUUUUUUAAGCAUUGUUUAGUGAUAGCAGUUGUAGGAAACAUAACAUGAACGGGCCUGAAGAAGUUUGAGUUCAUGACUUGUGAGUUGUCUGAUGUUUUGUAAAUGAAGCAGGAUUCUCCAUCUAAAGUAUCUGUGCUUUGGACUCAGACAGGGACAGCAUGAAAAAUUUUUGGCAAAAUAAGACAAGAAACAUGCAACAUGUGCCUUGGGCAAGCUAAAAGUGACAGAGGUCUACCUCUAGGCCCAGCCUUACUGCCCACGAGGACACGAGCCAGGACAUUUAUGUAAAGUACUGUAUCCUGAGCAUGAAGAAGACAGAUGAACAGAAAGGAAAAGUGGGGAAGGUUUGGUUCUGGACCUGUUUCUGAGCCUGCUUUUUUAGUAAAAGGGAUAGGAGUCUUAGUUGAUGCUUCCAACUGGAUCAAGCAACAUUACUUUUCUUCCCUAGCAAUAUUCCUCUUUGGAAGUGUUGGGCUGUUUUUCAGUUAUUUCCAGUGCUUGCUUUUGUCUAUAAAAUGAAAGCUCUCUGAUGGACUUAACUUAGACUUUACAAAUGCAUGGGGCUGAGUGUAGCUGUCAGGACAUUAAGAAUUUUAAUGAGCAGUUGAAGCAUCAUCCCAAGGAGAGAUAGGAGAGAUAAGAGCAUAAGCUGUUACCAAAAUAACAUUAACGAAGUUGUCCCAUGGCAGAAGAGCAAGGAAGGCAAGAAACAACAGAGCAUAUACCAUGUCUGAGAAAUAUUGCCUUAUUUUCAAGGUUAUAACAUGCUAUUCAGAUAAUUAUUUCAAAUACUCCUUUUAGAUAAGUCCCCAUGAAACAUGUGCUCUCAUAGAAAGUUAACAAAGUCAGACAUCAAAGCUGAAGGGAUCAUAAAGUGGGGAUAGUUAUUUUUUCAGAGGAAACAGGGAGAAUCUUUUCCCAUACUUCAGUGUAUGGCUGCUGAACUUCAAAGGGAUUGAUUAUGCACAUGAAAGCAAAUAUUAACAAUGCUACUGUGUCUUCUUCAAUGCACACUGGUUUAAGACAGCACAUGGUUGCUUUUAACAGGUAUAUCACUGCAGGAAGAACAGACCAGUUGUCAUAUUUAUCUCAUAAAUGCUCUUCCCUGGCCUUAAACAGAGCUACUAAACUCCAUACAGUACACAAUACAAGUAGCAUGUGAAGUUAAUUCCUUCUACCUAAAAGAAACUUAAAAAAGUUUCCUAAAGCAAUCUGAGGAACUUCAGUGAAUGGCAACAAAAUGAACUCUCUUUCUACUUCCUAUUCCUAUUUCAUAAAUUAGAAUAAUUUCGGGUUUUGCGGUGUGGUUGAUGGAUCCUGACUAACAGAGGCAGCAGCAAAUUUACCAGUGCCUACAAUGAUAUUCUACUUCAUGAGGAGAAAUGAAGGGUCUAUUACCACCAUAAUAUGGGUUCUUCGGCCAUGGACUCUAGAUCAAUCCAAAUGGAUUAAAAUAAAGACUCUAGCUCACUGUGAUGGGUAUAUUCCUGCCCCAAUCUUGCUAUGAAUAUAGCACAUUAUUAAAUAUUUAUAGAAAUAUGAUCUUACUGUGUUGGGGAGGUUUUGUUUGUGAUUGAGUGGUAUUUUUCUGGGGCGGGCGGGCAGGUUAUGAAUUGCCUACUUUGGCUGUGUAUGUAACACAUUUGUGGAAAGCAGAUCUUCCAGAUGUUCCUUACAGAGUUUCAUUAAGGCUGAGACCCAGAACAUUGCACAAGAAAAACCAAAGUGUUCUUUCCAUGAGGCUAUUUUUGUAGUAAAAUACCAAUGGCUAUCUUCCCUUCUGAAUUUCUCAGGGUCUUUUUGCUUGAGGGUUGGUCACUCUUGCAUUCUGCUAAGUCACACACACACAAACUUCAGCAGUUCUUGGGCAUUUUAUCUACUGAUUCUUCUUCCUUGGCACUAAUUAAUUCUACCUCUGGGUAAAACAUAGGUUCUUAGAAGCCUCCUCCUCCUCCCCCAGAUUUCCUGACCACCUGCCCUGUUGCUUCUGUUUCCCAAAAUUGUACUUCCAUCAAGUGCAAUGAAUGAGAUACAGGAAGUUCUCUGAGAUGGGAAGAACAUUUUCAUUCCCUGAUAAGCAUUCUACUGAUGGACUGCCAGCACUUGUUACUUUUUCAAGAAAUGAGAGCUGCAGAAUAGCAAGUGGUAGGUAUAAAGGAUGAGGAAUAAGUAUUCCCUGGCUCUUGCUUUUAUCUUGGUUUGCAGGCAAUUAGGUUUAGAUUUUACCCUAGCUAGAAUUAGAAAUUACCAAGAGGGGGUUGAUUUGUGACUGUGUUUUAGUAGCAGUCAGUUUUAUGUGUGAGUCAUGCAAUAACAGAACCCAUUGGGCUGAGAAAUCAGAAUUUCUGUUCUGACGGAAUUUUUAAUUCUUCUGUAAUUUCUUUCUCAUAUUGAACACAAACAAAACAAAUGAUAAAAAAAUUCCAGACAAUAUCCCAGACUGUCAAAAUAUGCAGUUACAUGUCUUUAUGUAGAUCUAUAGUUCAACUUCAUUCUUACUGUUCUCCUAUAAAUUAGAUCAGUGGGCUGGGCUACAUUUCACUGCAUUUCCUCCCCCUCACUAAGCCGCUGCUGUUCCUGCACAAGAGGGAUGCAGUCUGGUAAGAGAGCUUGAGCUGUUGGGUGAAGGACAGUAUUUUUUAUCAAAGAUACCUCUGGCAAGAACCAAGGUGUAGAAGCUUAAGCAUGGAGAUCUGGGCUGAAAGCAAUGUCCUUUUUUUUUUUUUCCCUGCUGAAAAUAAAAUUGGCAAAAUUAACAGUUUCUCUAAUAUUGAAGAAACCACAUUUCUCACUAAGAAAAGCUUUACUGGGAAAUAGACUAACAGUACCAGACAAAAGUGCCUGGUUUUUGUUUUCUAACUCACAUAGAAAUUUCUUGAUUUUGAAGUUGGUGCUCGCUGUGAGAGAGGUGAAGAGUGGUGAAGGUGGAAAGGAAGACAAGUCAUAUAAGUUUUUGGUAAACCUUUAAACCCAUCUUAUAGUGAAUUCCUAUUGGCCUAAAGCCAGCAAACACAGAAGUUCUGUAAAGGCUUGUUUGAGCUAUAAGGUCUUGAGUAAGUGUUUUCCCUGAAGGGUUUGAACUUUACAUCUGAAGCAAGGUCAUCCAUAAAGUACUCAGCAUACAAUAGUUGUUCCUUAUGUAGUGGACCCCCGGUGUAUAUUUCAAUACACCCAUUUCUAAAAAUCUGGUUCUAAUUUAGAUAAAGGGAUUUAAGAAGUCACUGUAGAGCCAAUGUUCUUGUUUUCAGUUCAGAUUCUGAAGAUAAUAAUAAUCAAGAGAGUUAGAUACCGUAGAAAAGACAGAAACAAGAAAUAACUCCUACUGCAUUGAGAGGUGCUGGUUCUCUGCUAGCAUCCAGUGAAUGCCUAGGAAGUUUCCCAAAUUAAAUACCCAGUCCCAGGCAUGAGUAACAAAAUUAUAGCUUGAAUAUUUGUUUUGACAAUGAGAAUAUGAAAAGAAUUAAACUAGUUCACACUAGCAAUGUGGAGAUAGAAAGCAAUCUGCUUAUGGUGUCGCAGUAUGAGGAACAAAGAAGAAGGGCUUUUUGAGGAAUAAAGGUUUAUUAACUGGCUACAAAUAAAUUUAGUUUGAGAGCAGUUAUUAUACUAAAUAUCAGGGGAACAAAGCUCUGUAAUAGCUUCUACUUCAAAAGGCAAUAAACCUCAAAUUUAUUUUCAUUUGGACACAGUCAGAUUUCUGAGUUGCAUUAAAUGAUGCAGUUUAUAAUGAAAAGGGAUUAUUCUAAUGUAUUACAGGCCCAGAACAGUUUUGUAUUGUAUUUUCCAUACUGUGGCAAUGAUUAUUUCCUUGAAUACAGCAGAUCUUGUGCCCUGGAGGAAGAAGGACAUCAGGAUAAAAUCAUAAAAUAGAGUUCUGCAGAUUUGAAUUAGAAUUGCCAAGCAAGUCCAUGAGGGUUUGAGCACUAAUCUAACUUUUAAUCCUCAAAUUUCUCCUGCUGUAAGACUAAGAUGAUGAUGAUCAUAUGCUUUAAUAGGAUACCAAGAAAUAACUCAAUUAAAAAUACUUAUUUAGUGGAAGUUACAUAAAUGCUGAAAAAGAUUCUCUGUCUAGGAAAACUUACUUUGUUUUUUCUCCAUCCAUCUAAUCUGAAACAAUUGUUGCUUCAAUUUGUAGUAAGAUACAUGACUGCAAAGAUAUGCCUGGUACACAGUAAAACUCUGAGAAGUAAUCUCAACUGACACAAUAUGUAGAAAAAAUGUCCUGCUCUGAAUAAAAUUUUAGUAUUAUGCCACAACCGUAUGACAAAAGAUUACUCAGUUAUUGAACAGGAGAGGAAAAUUAGAGGCUCUGUCACUGCCAGGGUUACACUUAUUUUUCAAUACUUUUUCAUCUGUUGAAUUUGAUUGUCCUCAUAAAUUCUUUGUUUAUCUAAUAUGCUGUAUUGCAUUGCAUUACAGAAUGUUGUAUUCUCUUUUCUUCAGCUGACCUAUGCUUGCAUUCAGCUUUGAAAUGGGUGGAUAUAGACUACAGAAGGAUCCCAUUGUCUUUGCUUCAAACCCUGCUUAUUGCAUUUUCCCCUUGGUUUCUGACCCAUUUAUUUCCCUUGUCUAAUGUGGAGGUCUCUUCCCACUUCUGUAAAGCCUCAUGUUUCUCUGUUGCUGUGAAAAGAGCAAUACAGGA
Parus major (Great Tit) is the source of this 7359-nucleotide long non-coding RNA. RefSeq lists it as uncharacterized. The record is from RefSeq and is a predicted model, not a curated record. Lineage: Eukaryota; Metazoa; Chordata; Aves; Passeriformes; Paridae. The transcript has 3 exons.